AUGGAGAACUCAUCAAGCCAAGAGUACACCAAUCCCCUUCAAAGUCGCCGCUGCACCCCCACCUCGCCCGGCCUCUCCUACGGCCCUGGCCUCCCGCUCUUCACUCAUCUGCCCGGCGGCGGGAAGUUACAGGCGUUGGAGUCCCUUCUGGUCACUGGUGAUUUAGACUUUGUCAUCGGGACAUGUGAAGCAAAGUUUGUUAGAGAAGCAAUUUCUUCGAUGAUGCUGGAGACUCGGCUAAUGCAGUUUCGUGCUGGUUGCAUAUGGGAUGGGUUUUCUCUUCAAUGGUGGGUGCUGAACAGUUCUUCAUUAAGACUAGGACUAUACACACCAGCCUAUGGAGGCUUCUUUGAAUCUGAUCUUCAAAAGGAAAAGAAGAUAUCUCUGAGAACUCUGAUUGAUCCAUCAGCGGUGGAGAGCUUCGGCGGUGGCAGCAGGGUCUGCAUCAUGGCCAUAGUUUAUCCCGUAGAGGUUGUCGACAACGGGGCCCACAUGUAUGCCUUCAACAACGGCAAUACCACGAUCAGAGCACAUAAAUAG
RNAcentral lists this ribosomal RNA (540 nucleotides) under Triticum aestivum (bread wheat). RNAcentral's name for it is "partial small subunit ribosomal RNA". Lineage: Eukaryota; Viridiplantae; Streptophyta; Magnoliopsida; Poales; Poaceae. The record is from RNAcentral.